UACGUAGGAUGCAAGCGUUGUCCGGAUUUAUUGGGCGUAAAGAGUUCGUAGGUGGUUUGUUAAGUCUGAUGUUAAAGACUGGGGCUCAACCUCGGAAAUGCAUUGGAUACUGGCAGACUUGAGUGUGGUAGAGGCAAUCGGAAUUCCAGGUGUAGCGGUGAAAUGCGUAGAUAUCUGGAAGAACACCGGUGGCGCAAGCGGAUUGCUGGGCCAUAACUGACACUGAGGAACGAAAGCUAGGGGAGCAAAUGGG
This 253-nucleotide ribosomal RNA is filed under the name uncultured bacterium. RNAcentral describes it as "partial 16S ribosomal RNA". It matches the Rfam family "Bacterial small subunit ribosomal RNA", at positions 524 to 776 of the family's 1533-position model. The record is from RNAcentral.